RNAcentral lists this small nuclear RNA (143 nucleotides) under Cebus imitator (Panamanian white-faced capuchin). Its description in RNAcentral is "U4 spliceosomal RNA (ENSCCAG00000014207.1)". It matches the Rfam family "U4 spliceosomal RNA". From Rfam's summary of the family: U4 small nuclear RNA (U4 snRNA) is a component of the major U2-dependent spliceosome. Lineage: Eukaryota; Metazoa; Chordata; Mammalia; Primates; Cebidae. The record is from Rfam by way of RNAcentral.
AGCUUUGCGCAGUGGCAGUAUCGCAGCGCGUGAGGUUUAUCUGAGGCGAGAGAUUAUUGCUAAUUGAAAACUUUUCCCAAUACCCUGCCUUGACAACUUGCAAUAGAGUUGGCAUUGGCAAUUUUUGACAGUCUCUAUGGAGA